RNAcentral lists this transfer RNA (87 nucleotides) under Holosporales bacterium. RNAcentral describes it as "tRNA-Leu". It matches the Rfam family "tRNA". From Rfam's summary of the family: Transfer RNA (tRNA) molecules are approximately 80 nucleotides in length. Lineage: Bacteria; Pseudomonadati; Pseudomonadota; Alphaproteobacteria; Holosporales. The record is from RNAcentral.
GCCCUUGUGGCGGAAUUGGUAGACGCAGCAGACUCAAAAUCUGCCGUUCGUUUGGACGUGGGAGUUCGAGUCUCCCCGAGGGCACCA